UCCCUGGUGGUUCAGUGGCUAAGACUCUGUGCUCUCAAUGCAGGAAACCUGGGUUCAAUCCCUGAUCAGGGAA
This 73-nucleotide transfer RNA is filed under the name Bos taurus (domestic cattle). It matches the Rfam family "tRNA". From Rfam's summary of the family: Transfer RNA (tRNA) molecules are approximately 80 nucleotides in length. Their secondary structure includes four short double-helical elements and three loops (D, anti-codon, and T loops). Further hydrogen bonds mediate the characteristic L-shaped molecular structure. tRNAs have two regions of fundamental functional importance: the anti-codon, which is responsible for specific mRNA codon recognition, and the 3' end, to which the tRNAs corresponding amino acid is attached (by aminoacyl-tRNA synthetases). tRNAs cope with the degeneracy of the genetic code in two manners: having more than one tRNA (with a specific anti-codon) for a particular amino acid; and 'wobble' base-pairing, i.e. permitting non-standard base-pairing at the 3rd anti-codon position. Lineage: Eukaryota; Metazoa; Chordata; Mammalia; Artiodactyla; Bovidae. The record is from Rfam by way of RNAcentral. RNAcentral also lists the same sequence under 1 other name.